RNAcentral lists this ribosomal RNA (292 nucleotides) under uncultured bacterium. RNAcentral's name for it is "partial 16S ribosomal RNA". It matches the Rfam family "Bacterial small subunit ribosomal RNA", at positions 505 to 796 of the family's 1533-position model. The record is from RNAcentral.
GUGCCAGCAGCCGCGGUAAUACGGAGGGUGCAAGCGUUAUCCGGAUUCACUGGGUUUAAAGGGUGCGUAGGCGGGCUUGUAAGUCAGUGGUGAAAGCCCGGAGCUUAACUUCGGAAUUGCCAUUGAUACUGCAAGCCUUGAGUACGGUUGAGGUGGGCGGAAUACAUCAUGUAGAGGUGAAAUUCUUAGAUAUGAUGUAGAACACCGAUUGCGAAGGCAGCUCACUAAAGCGUAACUGACGCUGAGGCACGAAAGCAUGGGGAUCAAACAGGAUUAGAAACCCUCGUAGUCC